Molecule: ribosomal RNA, 2566 nt
Filed under: Escherichia coli
Lineage: Bacteria; Pseudomonadati; Pseudomonadota; Gammaproteobacteria; Enterobacterales; Enterobacteriaceae
Description: bacterial LSU rRNA
Rfam family: Bacterial large subunit ribosomal RNA
Source: RNAcentral
CUGUGAGCUCGAUGAGUAGGGCGGGACACGUGGUAUCCUGUCUGAAUAUGGGGGGACCAUCCUCCAAGGCUAAAUACUCCUGACUGACCGAUAGUGAACCAGUACCGUGAGGGAAAGGCGAAAAGAACCCCGGCGAGGGGAGUGAAAAAGAACCUGAAACCGUGUACGUACAAGCAGUGGGAGCACGCUUAGGCGUGUGACUGCGUACCUUUUGUAUAAUGGGUCAGCGACUUAUAUUCUGUAGCAAGGUUAACCGAAUAGGGGAGCCGAAGGGAAACCGAGUCUUAACUGGGCGUUAAGUUGCAGGGUAUAGACCCGAAACCCGGUGAUCUAGCCAUGGGCAGGUUGAAGGUUGGGUAACACUAACUGGAGGACCGAACCGACUAAUGUUGAAAAAUUAGCGGAUGACUUGUGGCUGGGGGUGAAAGGCCAAUCAAACCGGGAGAUAGCUGGUUCUCCCCGAAAGCUAUUUAGGUAGCGCCUCGUGAAUUCAUCUCCGGGGGUAGAGCACUGUUUCGGCAAGGGGGUCAUCCCGACUUACCAACCCGAUGCAAACUGCGAAUACCGGAGAAUGUUAUCACGGGAGACACACGGCGGGUGCUAACGUCCGUCGUGAAGAGGGAAACAACCCAGACCGCCAGCUAAGGUCCCAAAGUCAUGGUUAAGUGGGAAACGAUGUGGGAAGGCCCAGACAGCCAGGAUGUUGGCUUAGAAGCAGCCAUCAUUUAAAGAAAGCGUAAUAGCUCACUGGUCGAGUCGGCCUGCGCGGAAGAUGUAACGGGGCUAAACCAUGCACCGAAGCUGCGGCAGCGACGCUUAUGCGUUGUUGGGUAGGGGAGCGUUCUGUAAGCCUGCGAAGGUGUGCUGUGAGGCAUGCUGGAGGUAUCAGAAGUGCGAAUGCUGACAUAAGUAACGAUAAAGCGGGUGAAAAGCCCGCUCGCCGGAAGACCAAGGGUUCCUGUCCAACGUUAAUCGGGGCAGGGUGAGUCGACCCCUAAGGCGAGGCCGAAAGGCGUAGUCGAUGGGAAACAGGUUAAUAUUCCUGUACUUGGUGUUACUGCGAAGGGGGGACGGAGAAGGCUAUGUUGGCCGGGCGACGGUUGUCCCGGUUUAAGCGUGUAGGCUGGUUUUCCAGGCAAAUCCGGAAAAUCAAGGCUGAGGCGUGAUGACGAGGCACUACGGUGCUGAAGCAACAAAUGCCCUGCUUCCAGGAAAAGCCUCUAAGCAUCAGGUAACAUCAAAUCGUACCCCAAACCGACACAGGUGGUCAGGUAGAGAAUACCAAGGCGCUUGAGAGAACUCGGGUGAAGGAACUAGGCAAAAUGGUGCCGUAACUUCGGGAGAAGGCACGCUGAUAUGUAGGUGAAGCGACUUGCUCGUGGAGCUGAAAUCAGUCGAAGAUACCAGCUGGCUGCAACUGUUUAUUAAAAACACAGCACUGUGCAAACACGAAAGUGGACGUAUACGGUGUGACGCCUGCCCGGUGCCGGAAGGUUAAUUGAUGGGGUCAGCGCAAGCGAAGCUCUUGAUCGAAGCCCCGGUAAACGGCGGCCGUAACUAUAACGGUCCUAAGGUAGCGAAAUUCCUUGUCGGGUAAGUUCCGACCUGCACGAAUGGCGUAAUGAUGGCCAGGCUGUCUCCACCCGAGACUCAGUGAAAUUGAACUCGCUGUGAAGAUGCAGUGUACCCGCGGCAAGACGGAAAGACCCCGUGAACCUUUACUAUAGCUUGACACUGAACAUUGAGCCUUGAUGUGUAGGAUAGGUGGGAGGCUUUGAAGUGUGGACGCCAGUCUGCAUGGAGCCGACCUUGAAAUACCACCCUUUAAUGUUUGAUGUUCUAACGUUGACCCGUAAUCCGGGUUGCGGACAGUGUCUGGUGGGUAGUUUGACUGGGGCGGUCUCCUCCUAAAGAGUAACGGAGGAGCACGAAGGUUGGCUAAUCCUGGUCGGACAUCAGGAGGUUAGUGCAAUGGCAUAAGCCAGCUUGACUGCGAGCGUGACGGCGCGAGCAGGUGCGAAAGCAGGUCAUAGUGAUCCGGUGGUUCUGAAUGGAAGGGCCAUCGCUCAACGGAUAAAAGGUACUCCGGGGAUAACAGGCUGAUACCGCCCAAGAGUUCAUAUCGACGGCGGUGUUUGGCACCUCGAUGUCGGCUCAUCACAUCCUGGGGCUGAAGUAGGUCCCAAGGGUAUGGCUGUUCGCCAUUUAAAGUGGUACGCGAGCUGGGUUUAGAACGUCGUGAGACAGUUCGGUCCCUAUCUGCCGUGGGCGCUGGAGAACUGAGGGGGGCUGCUCCUAGUACGAGAGGACCGGAGUGGACGCAUCACUGGUGUUCGGGUUGUCAUGCCAAUGGCACUGCCCGGUAGCUAAAUGCGGAAGAGAUAAGUGCUGAAAGCAUCUAAGCACGAAACUUGCCCCGAGAUGAGUUCUCCCUGACUCCUUGAGAGUCCUGAAGGAACGUUGAAGACGACGACGUUGAUAGGCCGGGUGUGUAAGCGCAGCGAUGCGUUGAGCUAACCGGUACUAAUGAACCGUGAGGCUUAACCUUACAACGCCGAAGGUGUUU